AGUCGCAGGUCAGCCGCCGUUUUGAGCCCAAACGAGAACACCUGGACCAGCUUCCUAAACCGUGUGUCGCAGGUUCGAAUCCUGCCGGGG
This 90-nucleotide transfer RNA is filed under the name Actinopolymorpha rutila. RNAcentral's name for it is "tRNA-Ser". Lineage: Bacteria; Bacillati; Actinomycetota; Actinomycetes; Propionibacteriales; Actinopolymorphaceae. The record is from RNAcentral.